CGUAGGGGGCGAGCGUUGUCCGGAUUUAUUGGGCGUAAAGAGCUCGUAGGCGGUUCGAUAAGUCGGGCGUGAAAACUCUGGGCUCAACCCAGAGACGCCACUCGAUACUGUUGUGACUUGAGUCCGGUAGGGGAGUAUGGAAUUCCCGGUGUAGCGGUGAAAUGCGCAGAUAUCGGGAGGAACACCAGUGGCGAAGGCGGUACUCUGGGCCGGAACUGACGCUGAGGAGCGAAAGCGUGGGUAGCGAACAGGAUUAGAUACCCUGGUAGUCCACGCCGUAAACGUUGGGCACUAGGUGUGGGUCUCAACCAACGGGAUCCGUGCCGCAGCUAACGCAUUAAGUGCCCCGCCUGGGGAGUACGGCCGCAAGGCUA
Molecule: ribosomal RNA, 374 nt
Filed under: uncultured organism
Description: bacterial SSU rRNA
Rfam family: Bacterial small subunit ribosomal RNA
Source: RNAcentral